RNAcentral lists this small nucleolar RNA (114 nucleotides) under Cervus elaphus hippelaphus. RNAcentral describes it as "Small nucleolar RNA SNORA70". It matches the Rfam family "Small nucleolar RNA SNORA70". From Rfam's summary of the family: snoRNA U70 seems to be exclusive to mammals and is a member of the H/ACA class of snoRNA which contain H (ANANNA) and ACA box motifs. H/ACA box snoRNAs are involved in the conversion of uridines to pseudouridines (5-ribosyluracil) a constituent of structural RNAs (transfer, ribosomal, small nuclear, and small nucleolar). Lineage: Eukaryota; Metazoa; Chordata; Mammalia; Artiodactyla; Cervidae. RNAcentral also lists the same sequence under 1 other name. The record is from Rfam by way of RNAcentral.
CAGCAGCAAGUUGAUCAUGGGGGCCUGGUGCAAUGGCUGCAAAUAGCAGCCUCCUCAGCAGUAUAUGCAGCCUGGUGCCUGUGCAGUUUGCUCAAAGGGAUCCUGGUGACAGCC